UCCAGGAUAGCCUAGUGGACAUGGCACCUGCCCGGUAAGCAGAAAGGUUGUGGGUUCGAUUCCCGCUCCUGGAC
This 74-nucleotide transfer RNA is filed under the name Cordylochernes scorpioides. RNAcentral describes it as "tRNA-Thr". It matches the Rfam family "tRNA". Rfam says of the family: Transfer RNA (tRNA) molecules are approximately 80 nucleotides in length. Their secondary structure includes four short double-helical elements and three loops (D, anti-codon, and T loops). Lineage: Eukaryota; Metazoa; Arthropoda; Arachnida; Pseudoscorpiones; Chernetidae. The record is from RNAcentral.